GGUCCCGUAGCUCAGCUGGAUAGAGCAUCGGUUUCCUAAACCGAGGGUCGCAGGUUCAAGUCCUGCCGGGAUCACCA
RNAcentral lists this transfer RNA (77 nucleotides) under Alphaproteobacteria bacterium. Its description in RNAcentral is "tRNA-Arg". It matches the Rfam family "tRNA". From Rfam's summary of the family: Transfer RNA (tRNA) molecules are approximately 80 nucleotides in length. Their secondary structure includes four short double-helical elements and three loops (D, anti-codon, and T loops). RNAcentral also lists the same sequence under 1 other name. Lineage: Bacteria; Pseudomonadati; Pseudomonadota; Alphaproteobacteria. The record is from RNAcentral.